GAGUCUGAUGGAGCACGCCGCGUGAGCGAUGAAGGCCUUCGGGUCGUAAAGCUCUGUUGUUAGGGAAGAACAAGUACCGGAGUAACUGCCGGUACCUUGACGGUACCUAACCAGAAAGCCACGGCUAACUACGUGCCAGCAGCCGCGGUAAUACGUAGGUGGCAAGCGUUGUCCGGAAUUAUUGGGCGUAAAGCGCGCGCAGGCGGUCCUUUAAGUCUGAUGUGAAAGCCCACGGCUCAACCGUGGAGGGUCAUUGGAAACUGGGGGACUUGAGUGCAGAAGAGGAAAGCGGAAUUCCACGUGUAGCGGUGAAAUGCGUAGAGAUGUGGAGGAACACCAGUGGCGAAGGCGGCUUUCUGGUCUGUAACUGACGCUGAGGCGCGAAAGCGUGGGGAGCAAACAGGAUUAGAUACCCUGGUAGUCCACGCCGUAAACGAUGAGUGCUAAGUGUUAGAGGGUUUCCGCCCUUUAGUGCUGCAGCUAACGCAUUAAGCACUCCGCCUGGGGAGUACGGCCGCAAGGCUGAAACUCAAAGGAA
RNAcentral lists this ribosomal RNA (538 nucleotides) under Neobacillus fumarioli. RNAcentral describes it as "bacterial SSU rRNA". It matches the Rfam family "Bacterial small subunit ribosomal RNA", at positions 379 to 909 of the family's 1533-position model. Lineage: Bacteria; Bacillati; Bacillota; Bacilli; Caryophanales; Bacillaceae. The record is from RNAcentral.